UACUAUACUAUUAAUAGCACAGUGCCUCCGUGCUACCAAGUUACUCUCAAUGAUACAGCUUCCAAAUCAAUGAUCGGCUCUGUUAGACAUGGUCUACGCUAUUGAAAAAUAUUUAGAAACCAAUUUUUUUUUUUUUGAUAUUAUUUGACUAGUGAUUAAAAGGUUUUAAAUUAAUAUUUUUAAUGAUCGAUAUAAUACAUUUGUGAAUUUAACGGUGUAAAACAAUCCAAAUCCGAUAAAAUUUUUAGAGAAAAUUUUCUUCGCUAUUUAGAAUAAAAUCAGUACCUCUGAUCUUAAAUUCAAGUCCUUCAUCACCAUUUUUAUGGGAUUUUUAUUUUCAGCCAUUAAUUUUUAGACUACACGUUUGGUAGGUAAUUGAUGUUCAAAAAUUAUAAAAUUUGAUGUUCAAAUACAAUUAAUAGUGUUGAUCAAGUUUAACAAAGACGAUCAUCAAUUCGGAAGCCGCAUCAUCGCAAACAACUUAAUAACACAGAGACUUUCGUGUUAUCGAUAGUAUACUAGCCGAUCUCUCUUUAUAUAUAAAUAUAUUCUUCAACAACUAUUUGUCUUAACAAACUUAAGCUUUUCAAAAACAAUAUUUUUAUUUUAUUUUUUAAUUCAACAUUGCAUUAACAUUUCCUUACA
RNAcentral lists this long non-coding RNA (645 nucleotides) under Ananas comosus (pineapple). RNAcentral describes it as "long non-coding RNA (ACOM_LNC029712)". The record is from RNAcentral. Lineage: Eukaryota; Viridiplantae; Streptophyta; Magnoliopsida; Poales; Bromeliaceae.